Molecule: ribosomal RNA, 468 nt
Filed under: uncultured bacterium
Lineage: Bacteria
Description: partial 16S ribosomal RNA
Rfam family: Bacterial small subunit ribosomal RNA
Source: RNAcentral
GACGAACGCUGGCGGCGUGCUUAACACAUGCAAGUCGAACGGAAAGGCCCUGCUUUUGUGGGGUGCUCGAGUGGCGAACGGGUGAGUAACACGUGAGUAACCUGCCCUUGACUUUGGGAUAACUUCAGGAAACUGGGGCUAAUACCGGAUAGGAGCUCCUGCUGCAUGGUGGGGGUUGGAACGUUUCGGCGGUUGGGGAUGGACUCGCGGCUUAUCAGCUUGUUGGUGGGGUAGUGGCUUACCAAGGCUUUGACGGGUAGCCGGCCUGAGAGGGUGACCGGCCACAUUGGGACUGAGAGACGGCCCAGACGCCUACGGGAGGCAGCAGUGGGGAAUAUUGCACAAUGGGCGGGAGCCUGAUGCAGCAACGCCGCGUGCGGGAUGACGGCCUUCGGGUUGUAAACCGCUUUCGCCUGUGACGAAGCGGGAGUGACGGUAAUGGGUAAAGAAGCACCGGCUAACUACGUG